Molecule: ribosomal RNA, 800 nt
Filed under: Salmonella enterica subsp. enterica serovar Kiambu
Lineage: Bacteria; Pseudomonadati; Pseudomonadota; Gammaproteobacteria; Enterobacterales; Enterobacteriaceae
Description: partial 23S ribosomal RNA
Rfam family: Bacterial large subunit ribosomal RNA
Source: RNAcentral
CCCAGACAGCCAGGAUGUUGGCUUAGAAGCAGCCAUCAUUUAAAGAAAGCGUAAUAGCUCACUGGUCGAGUCGGCCUGCGCGGAAGAUGUAACGGGGCUAAACCAUGCACCGAAGCUGCGGCAGCGACACUAGGUGUUGUUGGGUAGGGGAGCGUUCUGUAAGCCUGUGAAGGUGUGCUGUGAGGCAUGCUGGAGGUAUCAGAAGUGCGAAUGCUGACAUAAGUAACGAUAAAGCGGGUGAAAAGCCCGCUCGCCGGAAGACCAAGGGUUCCUGUCCAACGUUAAUCGGGGCAGGGUGAGUCGACCCCUAAGGCGAGGCCGAAAGGCGUAGUCGAUGGGAAACGGGUUAAUAUUCCCGUACUUGGUGUUACUGCGAAGGGGGGACGGAGAAGGCUAUGUUGGCCGGGCGACGGUUGUCCCGGUUUAAGCGUGUAGGUGUGUGUUCCAGGUAAAUCCGGUUCACUUUAACACUGAGGCGUGACGACGAGGCACUACGGUGCUGAAGCAACAAAUGCCCUGCUUCCAGGAAAAGCCUCUAAGCAUCAGGUAACAUCAAAUCGUACCCCAAACCGACACAGGUGGUCAGGUAGAGAAUACCAAGGCGCUUGAGAGAACUCGGGUGAAGGAACUAGGCAAAAUGGUGCCGUAACUUCGGGAGAAGGCACGCUGACACGUAGGUGAAGUGAUUUACUCAUGGAGCUGAAGUCAGUCGAAGAUACCAGCUGGCUGCAACUGUUUAUUAAAAACACAGCACUGUGCAAACACGAAAGUGGACGUAUACGGUGUGACGCCUGCCCGGU